GGUUAAGCGACUAAGCGUACACGGUGGAUGCCCUGGCAGUCAGAGGCGAUGAAGGACGUGCUAAUCUGCGAAAAGCGCCGGCGAGGUGAUAUGAACCCUUGACCCGGCGAUGUCCGAAUGGGGAAACCCAGUGUGAUUCGUCACACUAUCGUUAACUGAAUACAUAGGUUAACGAGGCGAACCGGGGGAACUGAAACAUCUAAGUACCCCGAGGAAAAGAAAUCAACCGAGAUUCCCCCAGUAGCGGCGAGCGAACGGGGAGCAGCCCAGAGUCUGAAUCAGCUUGUGUGUUAGUGGAAGCGUCUGGAAAGUCGCACGGUACAGGGUGAAAGUCCCGUACACGAAAGCACACAGGCUGUGAACUCGAAGAGUAGGGCGGGACACGUGGUAUCCUGUCUGAAUAUGGGGGGACCAUCCUCCAAGGCUAAAUACUCCUGACUGACCGAUAGUGAACCAGUACCGUGAGGGAAAGGCGAAAAGAACCCCGGCGAGGGGAGUGAAAAAGAACCUGAAACCGUGUACGUACAAGCAGUGGGAGCACCUUCGGGUGUGACUGCGUACCUUUUGUAUAAUGGGUCAGCGACUUAUAUUCUGUAGCAAGGUUAACCGUAUAGGGGAGCCGAAGGGAAACCGAGUCUUAACUGGGCGUUAAGUUGCAGGGUAUAGACCCGAAACCCGGUGAUCUAGCCAUGGGCAGGUUGAAGGUUGGGUAACACUAACUGGAGGACCGAACCGACUAAUGUUGAAAAAUUAGCGGAUGACCUGUGGCUGGGGGUGAAAGGCCAAUCAAACCGGGAGAUAGCUGGUUCUCCCCGAAAGCUAUUUAGGUAGCGCCUCGUGAACUCAUCUUCGGGGGUAGAGCACUGUUUCGGCUAGGGGGCCAUCCCGGCUUACCAACCCGAUGCAAACUACGAAUACCGAAGAAUGUUAUCACGGGAGACACACGGCGGGUGCUAACGUCCGUCGUGAAGAGGGAAACAACCCAGACCGCCAGCUAAGGUCCCAAAGUCAUGGUUAAGUGGGAAACGAUGUGGGAAGGCCCAGACAGCCAGGAUGUUGGCUUAGAAGCAGCCAUCAUUUAAAGAAAGCGUAAUAGCUCACUGGUCGAGUCGGCCUGCGCGGAAGAUGUAACGGGGCUAAACCAUGCACCGAAGCUGCGGCAGCGACGCUUAUGCGUUGUUGGGUAGGGGAGCGUUCUGUAAGCCGUUGAAGGUGGCCUGUGAGGGUUGCUGGAGGUAUCAGAAGUGCGAAUGCUGACAUAAGUAACGAUAAAGCGGGUGAAAAGCCCGCUCGCCGGAAGACCAAGGGUUCCUGUCCAACGUUAAUCGGGGCAGGGUGAGUCGACCCCUAAGGCGAGGCCGAAAGGCGUAGUCGAUGGGAAACAGGUUAAUAUUCCUGUACUUGGUGUUACUGCGAAGGGGGGACGGAGAAGGCUAUGUUAGCCGGGCGACGGUUGUCCCGGUUUAAGCAUGUAGGCGGAGGUUCCAGGUAAAUCCGGUACCUUUUAACGCUGAGGUGUGAUGACGAGGCACUACGGUGCUGAAGUAACAAAUGCCCUGCUUCCAGGAAAAGCCUCUAAGCAUCAGGUAACACGAAAUCGUACCCCAAACCGACACAGGUGGUCAGGUAGAGAAUACCAAGGCGCUUGAGAGAACUCGGGUGAAGGAACUAGGCAAAAUGGUGCCGUAACUUCGGGAGAAGGCACGCUGAUAUGUAGGUGAAGCCCCUGCGGGUGGAGCUGAAAUCAGUCGAAGAUACCAGCUGGCUGCAACUGUUUAUUAAAAACACAGCACUGUGCAAACACGAAAGUGGACGUAUACGGUGUGACGCCUGCCCGGUGCCGGAAGGUUAAUUGAUGGGGUUAGCGGCAACGCGAAGCUCUUGAUCGAAGCCCCGGUAAACGGCGGCCGUAACUAUAACGGUCCUAAGGUAGCGAAAUUCCUUGUCGGGUAAGUUCCGACCUGCACGAAUGGCGUAAUGAUGGCCAGGCUGUCUCCACCCGAGACUCAGUGAAAUUGAACUCGCUGUGAAGAUGCAGUGUACCCGCGGCAAGACGGAAAGACCCCGUGAACCUUUACUAUAGCUUGACACUGAACACUGGUCCUUGAUGUGUAGGAUAGGUGGGAGGCUUUGAAGCGUGGACGCCAGUCUGCGUGGAGCCGUCCUUGAAAUACCACCCUUUAAUGGCUGGUGUUCUAACGUAGACCCGUAAUCCGGGUUGCGGACAGUGUCUGGUGGGUAGUUUGACUGGGGCGGUCUCCUCCCAAAGAGUAACGGAGGAGCACGAAGGUUAGCUAAUCCUGGUCGGACAUCAGGAGGUUAGUGCAAUGGCAUAAGCUAGCUUGACUGCGAGAGUGACGGCUCGAGCAGGUGCGAAAGCAGGUCAUAGUGAUCCGGUGGUUCUGAAUGGAAGGGCCAUCGCUCAACGGAUAAAAGGUACUCCGGGGAUAACAGGCUGAUACCGCCCAAGAGUUCAUAUCGACGGCGGUGUUUGGCACCUCGAUGUCGGCUCAUCACAUCCUGGGGCUGAAGUAGGUCCCAAGGGUAUGGCUGUUCGCCAUUUAAAGUGGUACGCGAGCUGGGUUUAGAACGUCGUGAGACAGUUCGGUCCCUAUCUGCCGUGGGCGCUGGAGAAUUGAGGGGGGCUGCUCCUAGUACGAGAGGACCGGAGUGGACGCAUCACUGGUGUUCGGGUUGUCAUGCCAAUGGCACUGCCCGGUAGCUAAAUGCGGAAGAGAUAAGUGCUGAAAGCAUCUAAGCACGAAACUUGCCCCGAGAUGAGUUCUCCCUGACUCCUUGAGAGUCCUGAAGGAACGUUGAAGACGACGACGUUGAUAGGUCGGGUGUGUAAGCGCAGCGAUGCGUUGAGCUAACCGAUACUAAUGAACCGUGAGGCUUAACCUU
Molecule: ribosomal RNA, 2904 nt
Filed under: Enterobacter cloacae
Lineage: Bacteria; Pseudomonadati; Pseudomonadota; Gammaproteobacteria; Enterobacterales; Enterobacteriaceae
Description: 23S ribosomal RNA
Rfam family: Bacterial large subunit ribosomal RNA
Source: RNAcentral